UCCAUGUGCGAGAAGAACGGCCAGACCCCUCCGCCGAUGCCAGUCAUUGCUCCGGCGGGCACGCGUAACUCCCGACAAGCAUCGACCGAUCCUUCUCCGUUUGCCACUGGCGCGACCGGUCCUACACCUACACCUACACCUACACCUCCGUGAUGACGAUUUGCUUAAGAUCACGGAAGCUUGGGUUGAUGGAGUGCUUGUAUUUAGUUUUUG
Molecule: long non-coding RNA, 213 nt
Organism: Triticum aestivum (bread wheat)
Lineage: Eukaryota; Viridiplantae; Streptophyta; Magnoliopsida; Poales; Poaceae
Exons: 3
Source: RefSeq, a predicted model, not a curated record